AAGACAAGCACUGAACACAAAGCAAACUAUUCUUUCGCCUUUUACUAAAGAAUACCGUGUGUUCUUUGCAAUACGUGGCACUAUGAGUAUAGUUACUAGCAUCUUGUUCAAUGAAGAG
Impatiens glandulifera is the source of this 118-nucleotide small nuclear RNA. RefSeq annotates it as U5 spliceosomal RNA. The transcript has a single exon. The record is from RefSeq and is a predicted model, not a curated record. NCBI's taxonomy places the organism in Eukaryota, Viridiplantae, Streptophyta, Magnoliopsida, Ericales, Balsaminaceae.